This is a long non-coding RNA of Nasonia vitripennis (jewel wasp), 2608 nucleotides long. RefSeq lists it as uncharacterized. The transcript is spliced from 2 exons. The record is from RefSeq and is a predicted model, not a curated record. NCBI's taxonomy places the organism in Eukaryota, Metazoa, Arthropoda, Insecta, Hymenoptera, Pteromalidae.
CGAGAUUAAUUCCAUCUCGUCGGUUGCCGCGUCCUCUUUGUCGAUCAACUCCUUGAUGAAGGUCAAGUUUUUCUCGUCCUUUGUCAUCUCUGCGGUCUUGAAGUCCUUGCUCGCAGCCGAAGUCCAGGGCUGCGUCGAUAUCGAUCAAACACUCUCGGAAUAGCUGCUUGCGAUAGAGAGCCGCUGACCGGUUGGCAAGAGCUAAGGAUUUGGACUCUCUGCUCUUGGCGUAGGCGAGGCUCAUCGAGUACUUUUCGAUAGCUUCCUCGUCGUCGCCUGAGACGAAGCAUUGAUUUCCUGUAAAAUCGAACGAGUGAUCAGUGGUGAUUACAGUAAAAUGUAUUUCAAUUUUUAAAUAAAAUUUUUACAGCUCUGCACGUCUUUUUUAUUUCGCGCAGCAGUCUUUUUAAAAUCAAACAGCAGACCUCAUCCCUUGCACUUAGUUUUUUUUUUUAUUUUUAUAGUAGUUAUGCAUUUUUAUAAGUACUUCUCAUUAAGUGUAAAUGUCCUGCGUUUACAAAAUAAUAAAUCAUGUGCUGUGUAUGUUUUUACAAUAAAAAUUGCGUCGUUUCAGUAUGAAAACUAUUUUUCCUUCUGUAUUCAUUCCCUCCAUGCAUACAUAAUGCCUUGUAUAACAUUCGACAGACAGGCUGCGCUCACUUGAAGCUGUCUAAUUUUAGUAAUAAGAAUUGUUUACCAUGUACCUUCUUCUCUGAAAAUAGCGGAGUCUUCGUCGUUCUUGGUGUCGGCGUCCAUAAGUGGCAACUGUGAUUUAACCAUAUUAUUCAAAACAUGCUCAACCAAUGCCUCACAUUCCUUUUGUAAUCCGUAACCGCCAUGAGAAUUGCUUCUCUUCACAGCCAUAAUCAAUUCCUUUGCCAAAUCCAUUUUUUAAUAAUUUCACUCUUGAAGAAAAAGAAGACAAGUAAGUAUGGUAUUUAACUGAGUUUUGGCAAAUUUAUUCAACGCGAGUCUCGUGCGUUUUAAGCACUGUAACUACUCGUGUAAUUUGAUAUUUUGUUGCAACAAGUUACGAAUAAUAAAGUAUUCGAUAGAACGUUAAAAUAUUAACAAUUUUGAAUGUUCUGCCGCUUAUGGCACACUGUUGACUGUGCCCGAAGACGCGGCUCAUGCGUGAUUGUGCACUAAAUUAGCUAAGGCUAUUGAUGUACUAAGAAGCUAAAGCAACGAGGUGAGACUAAAAUUACUCCAACAUGUAAGAGGGAAAGGGUUCGUGCAAUGCUUUCAUCUGCGAGUGUUGCAGCCGCAGAUAGUAUAAGCUUUCACUAGUAGCGUAUACAUGAUUUAUAUUCUCUUACGAAACAUAAUAUUUUCAUAAUUUAUUUGUUACUAAUAUGUUUUAUUUUUUAUGGUAUGAACAGUUGGAUCAUAAAAACAAUUUGCUUAACAUAAAAAUUAAAAAAAUAAUAAUUACUUACCACUAUUAUAAAAGAACCGCUAUAAUUUUGCGAAAUAUCCUCGUAAAAAUAAACUUUGUAUGUACUCGCAGCAAAGUAGUACAGUUCUUACAAUUUUAAUCUAAAUAUCACUUAAAUUUACCGAAAAUUUUGAUACAAGUACACUGAAGUCAUUUUUUACGAGGACAUAAGUACUCAAAAUUAUUCUUUAGAAUUAACUGAUGACUUACAAAAAACAUAACUUUUGCAUCGUGCUCUUUAGAAGAUGACAUUUUUAAUUGUAAGUUGCACAAUAUCGGUGCACGGCUUUAUAUAGCAUCAAAAGUACUAAUUGAUCUAUAAUCAACAUCAAUGCUUGAAACAAUUAUGACUUACAAGCAAAUCAAAUCACAAAAUAUAAUUUUAAUUCGCCGUCCAGGUAAGUUAGCAUAAGAAAUGAAAAUCAAUUGAAAAUUUCGUCGCGUGUUGUUAGUUAAACAAAACAUUUAUUAAUAAAAUUUAAUUCUAUAAUAAAAAAAUAAUUUUUAAACAACAUUGUUUAAAUGCAAUUUAUUUAUUCAAUUUUAUUUCUCAUGUACACAAUAUAUUUUCAUCGUGGAAUUCGACCUAUAAUCAUAUACAAAUAUUCUUAAAAAUAUUGAAAAUUACUAUACAAAUGCAUUCCUACAAACUAAAAUGUGAUUAUGUAAUCAAUUUAUAAAUGAAAAUUUUAUCAUGAGUUUAAGACUAUAAUAUUAGAUUUAAUUUUGGCAAUGAGCUGUCCGAGCAGUUAUAAUUAAAUAAAUAUAAUUUUAAAUUAAAGAUAUAUUUAAAAAAAAAUAGAACUAUUCAAAGAGUAGCGUGAUAAAAUACAGUAAACAUGCGUACGUAUUCACAAAUGGUCUAAAGCCAAAUAUUAUGAAUGUUCGAUUUUCGAAAUAUUAAUUAUAUAAAUCAUUAACAGCUGUUUUCAGUGCAUAAAUUGGCGUACAACGUAUUUUUAUUGAUAAAAUAUAUGAUCAAAAUCCAUAAGUAUGCAAAAAUGUAGUUGUGCUCAUCAAUGUAUUGAUGUGUACAAGAUUUCGUUUGUGAGCAUUCAGUAAAGCUGAUAUACAGUAUGUGAUAUAUAAAAGAUUUAAAAUAUAAGAACGUAAUAUUGUAUGUACAAUUAUGUAUUUUCAUAAACUGAUAUCUCAGGAUAUUUUGUUAAU